RNAcentral lists this ribosomal RNA (1947 nucleotides) under human oral metagenome. Its description in RNAcentral is "bacterial LSU rRNA". It matches the Rfam family "Bacterial large subunit ribosomal RNA", at positions 1 to 1977 of the family's 2925-position model. The record is from RNAcentral.
UUAAGUGACUAAGCGUACAAGGUGGAUGCCUUGGCAAUCAGAGGCGAGGAAGGACGUGCUAAUCUGCGAAAAGCUUGGAUGAGUCGAUAAGAGGCGUUUAAUCCAAGAUGUCCGAAUGGGGAAACCCAGUAGAUGAAGAAUCUACUAUCACUUACUGAAUCCAUAGGUAAGUGAGGCAAACCGGGAGAACUGAAACAUCUAAGUACCCCGAGGAAAAGAAAUCAACCGAGAUUUCGUUAGUAGCGGCGAGCGAACGCGAAGGAGCCUGUUAGUGAUAAUGACAGAGACAGAGGAACAAGCUGGGAAGCUUGGCGAUACAGGGUGAUAGCCCCGUACUCGAAGUCCAGGUCAUGGUACUAAGCUAACGACAAGUAGGGCGGGACACGUGAUAUCCUGUUUGAAGAUGGGGGGACCAUCCUCCAAGGCUAAAUACUCCUGAUUGACCGAUAGUGAACCAGUACUGUGAAGGAAAGGCGAAAAGAACCCCGGUGAGGGGAGUGAAAUAGAACCUGAAACCUUGUACGUACAAGCAGUGGGAGCCCUUUAAGGGUGACUGCGUACCUUUUGUAUAAUGGGUCAGCGACUUAUAUUUUGUAGCGAGGUUAACCGAAUAGGGGAGCCGAAGGGAAACCGAGUCUUAACUGGGCGUCUAGUUGCAAGGUAUAGACCCGAAACCCGGUGAUCUAGCCAUGGGCAGGUUGAAGGUUGGGUAACACUAACUGGAGGACCGAACCGACUAAUGUUGAAAAAUUAGCGGAUGACUUGUGGCUGGGGGUGAAAGGCCAAUCAAACCGGGAGAUAGCUGGUUCUCCCCGAAAUCUAUUUAGGUAGAGCCUUGAGCGGACACCUUCGGGGGUAGAGCACUGUUUCGGCUAGGGGUCCAUCCCGGAUUACCAACCCGAUGCAAACUACGAAUACCGAAGAGUGAUACUCAGGAGACACACGGCGGGUGCUAACGUCCGUCGUGGAGAGGGAAACAACCCAGACCGCCAGCUAAGGUCCCAAAGUCUAUAUUAAGUGGGAAACGAAGUGGGAAGGCUUAGACAGCUAGGAUGUUGGCUUAGAAGCAGCCAUCAUUUAAAGAAAGCGUAAUAGCUCACUAGUCGAGUCGGCCUGCGCGGAAGAUGUAACGGGGCUCAAAUAUAGCACCGAAGCUGCGGCAUCAGACGAAAGUCUGUUGGGUAGGGGAGCGUUCUGUAAGCGGAUGAAGGUGGCUCGAGAGGGUUGCUGGACGUAUCAGAAGUGCGAAUGCUGACAUAAGUAACGAUAAAACGGGUGAAAAACCCGUUCGCCGGAAGACCAAGGGUUCCUGUCCAACGUUAAUCGGGGCAGGGUGAGUCGGCCCCUAAGGCGAGGCUGAAAAGCGUAGUCGAUGGGAAACGGGUUAAUAUUCCCGUACUUGGAUAAACUGCGAUGUGGGGACGGAGCAGGUUAGGUUAUCGCACUGUUGGAUAUGUGCGUUUAAGUUGGUAGGUGAGAAGUUUAGGCAAAUCCGGACUUCUUUAACACUGAGAGAUGAUGACGAGGCUCUACGGAGCUGAAGUAACCGAUACCACACUUCCAGGAAAAGCCACUAAGCUUCAGGUUUAUCUAAACCGUACUGAAAACCGACACAGGUGGUCAGGUAGAGAAUACUCAGGCGCUUGAGAGAACUCGGGUGAAGGAACUAGGCAAAAUAGCACCGUAACUUCGGGAGAAGGUGCGCCGGCGUAGAUUGUAGUCCCUUGCGGGCGAAGGUUGAACCGGUCGAAGAUACCAGCUGGCUGCAACUGUUUAUUAAAAACACAGCACUCUGCAAACACGAAAGUGGACGUAUAGGGUGUGAUGCCUGCCCGGUGCUGGAAGGUUAAUUGAUGGUGUAAUCGAAAGAGAAGCUCCUGAUCGAAGCCCCAGUAAACGGCGGCCGUAACUAUAACGGUCCUAAGGUAGCGAAAUUCCUUGUCGGGU